CUGAUCUGCUCAGCUCGGGCCUCCCGGAGUCUGGAGCUUCCUUCCUGUCCUGUGCCCUCCUGGCUUCUGCCUGUCCCGGGGUAGUGCCGGAUCUUUGUCUGUGUCCCUGGCGCCCUAUACUCCCCCGCCUGCACUGUUGGAAUC
This 144-nucleotide microRNA precursor is filed under the name Canis lupus familiaris (dog). RNAcentral's name for it is "miRNA (ENSCAFG00845030343.1)". The record is from RNAcentral. Lineage: Eukaryota; Metazoa; Chordata; Mammalia; Carnivora; Canidae.